GCCCUACUGGUCUAGUAGUAUGAUACCUGCUUCGGAGCAAUCCAGUCUUCGCAGAGGAUGAGAGUGCAGGUGGUCCCCGGUUCAAUUCCGGGGUAGGGCC
This is a non-coding RNA of Geopyxis carbonaria, 100 nucleotides long. Lineage: Eukaryota; Fungi; Ascomycota; Pezizomycetes; Pezizales; Tarzettaceae. The record is from the annotation of a GenBank genome assembly.